AGUGAACGCUGGCGGUAGGCCUGACACAUGCAAGUCGAACGGCAGCACAGUAAGAGCUUGCUCUUACGGGUGGCGAGUGGCGGACGGGUGAGGAAUACAUCGGAAUCUACUUUUUCGUGGGGGAUAACGUAGGGAAACUUACGCUAAUACCGCAUACGACCUACGGGUGAAAGCAGGGGAUCUUCGGACCUUGCGCGAUUGAAUGAGCCGAUGUCGGAUUAGCUAGUUGGCGGGGUAAAGGCCCACCAAGGCGACGAUCCGUAGCUGGUCUGAGAGGAUGAUCAGCCACACUGGAACUGAGACACGGUCCAGACUCCUACGGGAGGCAGCAGUGGGGAAUAUUGGACAAUGGGCGCAAGCCUGAUCCAGCCAUACCGCGUGGGUGAAGAAGGCCUUCGGGUUGUAAAGCCCUUUUGUUGGGAAAGAAAAGCAGCAGGUUAAUACCCCGCUGUUCUGACGGUACCCAAAGAAUAAGCACCGGCUAACUUCAUG
RNAcentral lists this ribosomal RNA (492 nucleotides) under uncultured bacterium. RNAcentral's name for it is "partial 16S ribosomal RNA". It matches the Rfam family "Bacterial small subunit ribosomal RNA", at positions 29 to 507 of the family's 1533-position model. The record is from RNAcentral.